RNAcentral lists this ribosomal RNA (821 nucleotides) under uncultured bacterium. RNAcentral's name for it is "bacterial SSU rRNA". It matches the Rfam family "Bacterial small subunit ribosomal RNA", at positions 460 to 1287 of the family's 1533-position model. The record is from RNAcentral.
UGGAUCCCCGGGCUGCAGCCCAAUGUGGAAUUCGCCCUUGUGCCAGCCGCCGCGGUAAUACGUAGGUGGCGAGCGUUUUCCGGAAUUAUUGGGCGUAAAGGGCUCGCAGGCGGUUUCUUAAGUCUGAUGUGAAAGCCCCCGGCUCAACCGGGGAGGGUCAUUGGAAACUGGGGAACUUGAGUGCAGAAGAGGAGAGUGGAAUUCCACGUGUAGCGGUGAAAUGCGUAGAGAUGUGGAGGAACACCAGUGGCGAAGGCGACUCUCUGGUCUGUAACUGACGCUGAGGAGCGAAAGCGUGGGGAGCGAACAGGAUUAGAUACCCUGGUAGUCCACGCCGUAAACGAUGAGUGCUAAGUGUUAGGGGGUUUCCGCCCCUUAGUGCUGCAGCUAACGCAUUAAGCACUCCGCCUGGGGAGUACGGUCGCAAGACUGAAACUCAAAGGAAUUGACGGGGGCCCGCACAAGCGGUGGAGCAUGUGGUUUAAUUCGAAGCAACGCGAAGAACCUUACCAGGUCUUGACAUCCUCUGACAAUCCUAGAGAUAGGACGUCCCCUUCGGGGGCAGAGUGACAGGUGGUGCAUGGUUGUCGUCAGCUCGUGUCGUGAGAUGUUGGGUUAAGUCCCGCAACGAGCGCAACCCUUGAUCUUAGUUGCCAGCAUUCAGUUGGGCACUCUAAGGUGACUGCCGGUGACAAACCGGAGGAAGGUGGGGAUGACGUCAAAUCAUCAUGCCCCUUAUGACCUGGGCUACACACGUGCUACAAUGGACAGAACAAAGGGCAGCGAAACCGCGAGGUUAAGCCAAUCCCACAAAUCUGUUC